UACGAAGGGGGCUAGCGUUGCUCGGAAUCACUGGGCGUAAAGCGCACGUAGGCGGCUUGUUAAGUCAGGGGUGAAAUCCUGGAGCUCAACUCCAGAACUGCCUUUGAUACUGGCGAGCUUGAGUCCGGGAGAGGUGAGUGGAACUGCGAGUGUAGAGGUGAAAUUCGUAGAUAUUCGCAAGAACACCAGUGGCGAAGGCGGCUCACUGGCCCGGUACUGACGCUGAGACGCGAAAGCCAGGGGAGCAAACGGG
RNAcentral lists this ribosomal RNA (253 nucleotides) under uncultured bacterium. RNAcentral describes it as "partial 16S ribosomal RNA". It matches the Rfam family "Bacterial small subunit ribosomal RNA", at positions 524 to 776 of the family's 1533-position model. The record is from RNAcentral.